UGCAAAUCUUCAAAUGGUUUACUAAAGAAGCAGUACCUGCCGAUGUGGAUUUGCAACCCAAUACAGCACUACAAUAGUUGCAGUUUGCAUGAUCCGGAUCAUCCACCUGAAUUGUGAAGUAAGGAACCUUGACUAGCAACAUAACCAGCACCAAGGUUGACACUAUCGAACACCUGAAGAAAUAAGUUAGCCACUACUACUGCAACCAAACUGAACCAACUAUGUUACUGAACAAGUAUCAUGAGAUCAGGGAGAUGCUAUGCUACUGAACAAGUAUCCAACCAGAUCGAACUCAAGGUCAAAGAAUGGGCUUACCAUGAUGGCGUCGACGGCUCGUGUUGCUCCGUGGAACCGUGCGUCGGCGAGCGCGACGGAGGGCGGAGCCGCGGAUGUCAGCGAGUCGGCGACUCAACGGCGUGGAGGAAAGAGGGCGGAGCCGGAGG
This is a long non-coding RNA of Triticum dicoccoides, 443 nucleotides long. RefSeq lists it as uncharacterized. NCBI's taxonomy places the organism in Eukaryota, Viridiplantae, Streptophyta, Magnoliopsida, Poales, Poaceae. The record is from RefSeq and is a predicted model, not a curated record. The transcript has 3 exons.